RNAcentral lists this ribosomal RNA (446 nucleotides) under uncultured bacterium. Its description in RNAcentral is "bacterial SSU rRNA". It matches the Rfam family "Bacterial small subunit ribosomal RNA", at positions 329 to 792 of the family's 1533-position model. The record is from RNAcentral.
UGCCAGACUCCUACGGGAGGCAGCAGUGGGGAAUAUUGCACAAUGGGGGAAACCCUGAUGCAGCGACGCCGCGUGGGUGAAGGAGCACCUCGGUGCGUAAAGCCCUAUCGGCAGGGAAGAAACAGACGGUACCUGACUAAGAAGCCCCGGCUAACUACGUGCCAGCAGCCGCGGUAAUACGUAGGGGGCAAGCGUUAUCCGGAUUUACUGGGUGUAAAGGGAGCGUAGACGGCAGCGCAAGUCUGAAGUGAAAUGCCGGGGCUUAACCCCGGAACUGCUUUGGAAACUGUGCGGCUAGAGUGCAGGAGAGGUAAGUGGAAUUCCUAGUGUAGCGGUGAAAUGCGUAGAUAUUAGGAGGAACACCAGUGGCGAAGGCGGCUUACUGGACUGUAACUGACGUUGAGGCUCGAAAGCGUGGGGAGCAAACAGGAUUAGAUACCCGAGUA